AUGUCCGGUCAUACCAUGAUAGUCGUCGACAAAACACCCAUCCAGUCUGAUGCCUCAAACUUAAUGGUGCCUCCUCCCGCGAUAGUAACACAACCCUCUCCAUGCAGCUGGGCGUUGAUCCUAGCUCAUCCUGGGCCAGUAGCCCCCAGCCCGUCCAUCCUUGUUGGGGUGAACUUUGAUGAUGAGAUCAGUCGCAACCUGACGCCCCUGACCCAAAGGGCUAAGGAGGCAGGUGAUCCUGCUAACAACACCAAGGACUUAGCCUUCCUGGAAACAAUGGCUGCCGGGUUAAAGGAUGUGCAAGAGAGGUACAGCCAAAAGUGGUAG
This 327-nucleotide ribosomal RNA is filed under the name Triticum aestivum (bread wheat). Its description in RNAcentral is "partial small subunit ribosomal RNA". The record is from RNAcentral. Lineage: Eukaryota; Viridiplantae; Streptophyta; Magnoliopsida; Poales; Poaceae.